GGGUGAGUCGGCUCCUAAGGUCAGGCCGAAAGGCGUAGCCGAUGGGAAUCAGGUUAAUAUUCCUGAACCUGCGUCAGAUGCGAUGGGGGGACGGAGCAUGGAAGAUCAUCCGGGUGUUGGAAGUCCCGGUUGUUGAGCGUAGGAGGUCUGCAGGCAAAUCCGCAGACGCAUCUCCAAGGCAAAGACACGUGCCGCUACGGCGGCGAAGUGAUCGGAAGUGCUUCCAAGAAAAGCCUCUAAGCACCAGUCUGAUGCGGACCGUACCGCAAACCGACACUGGUGGGCGAGCUGAAUAUGCUCAGGCGCUUGAGAGAACUCGGGAGAAGGAACUCGGCAAAUUGACACCGUAACUUCGGAAGAAGGUGUGCCGUAGUACCGUGAGAGGAGAGACACCUUGAGCGGGAAACGGUCUCAGAGAAUAGGUGGUUGCGACUGUUUAUUAAAAACACAGCACUCUGCAAAGUCGAAAGACGACGUAUAGGGUGUGAUGCCUGCCCGGUGCUGGAAGAUUAAUUGAUGGGGUGAGAGCCCUUGAUCGAAGUCCCAGUAAACGGCGGCCGUAACUAUAACGGUCCUAAGGUAGCGAAAUUCCUUGUCGGGUAAGUUCCGACCUGCACGAAUGGCAUAACGAUGGCCACACUGUCUCCUCCCGAGACUCAGUGAAGUUGAAAUGUUUGUGAUGAUGCAAUCUACCCGCGGCUAGACGGGAAGACCCCAUGAACCUUUACUGCAGCUUUGCAUUGAACUGUGAACCGAUUUGUGUAGGAUAGGUGGGAGGCAGAGAAGAGGCCACGCCAGUGGCCUUGGAGCCGACCUUGAAAUACCACCCUGAUUUGUUUGCGGUUCUAACCACGGACAGUGAUCCUGUCUUGGGACCGUGCAUGGUAGGCAGUUUGACUGGGGCGGUCUCCUCCUAAAGGGUAACGGAGGAGUACGAAGGUACGCUAGGUACGGUCGGAAAUCGUGCUGAUAGUGCAAUGGCAAAAGCGUGCUUGACUGCGAGAGCAACAACUCGAGCAGAUGCGAAAGCAGGUCAUAGUGAUCCGGUGGCUCUGAAUGGAAGGGCCAUCGCUCAACGGAUAAAAGGUACUCUGGGGAUAACAGGCUGAUACCGCCCAAGAGUUCAUAUCGACGGCGGUGUUUGGCACCUCGAUGUCGGCUCAUCUCAUCCUGGGGCUGUAGUCGGUCCCAAGGGUAUGGCUGUUCGCCAUUUAAAGAGGUACGUGAGCUGGGUUUAAAACGUCGUGAGACAGUUUGGUCCCUAUCUGCCGUGGGCGUUGGAAGAUUGACGGGGGCUGCUCCUAGUACGAGAGGACCGGAGUGGACGCACCUCUGGUGUACCGGUUGUCACGCCAGUGGCAUUGCCGGGUAGCUAAGUGCGGAAGAGAUAACCGCUGAAAGCAUCUAAGCGGGAAACUUGCCUGAAGAUGAGUCUUCCCGGAGGUUGAACCUCCCUCAAGAGUCGUCCGAGACCAGGACGUCGAUAGGUCAGGUGUGUAAGCGCUGUAAGGCGUUGAGCUAACUGAUACUAAUUGCUCGUGAGGCUUGAUC
This 1551-nucleotide ribosomal RNA is filed under the name human gut metagenome. RNAcentral's name for it is "bacterial LSU rRNA". It matches the Rfam family "Bacterial large subunit ribosomal RNA", at positions 1377 to 2925 of the family's 2925-position model. The record is from RNAcentral.